ACGAUUCUAUCGUGAAACCGCGAACGGCUCAUUAUAACAGCUAUAAUUUACUUGAUCUUGACUAUCCUACUUGGAUAACUGUGGUAAUUCUAGAGCUAAUACAUGCACCAAAGCCCUGACCUUACGGAAAGGGUGCAUUUAUUAGAACAAAACCAAGCGACUUCGGUCGUUUUUUGUUGACUCAGAAUAACUAAGCUGAUCGCAUGGUCUUGCACCGGCGACGUGUCUUUCAAGUAUCUGCCUUAUCAACUUUCGAUGGUAGUGUAUCUGACUACCAUGGUGGUGACGGGUAACGGAGGAUAAGGGUUUGACUCCGGAGAAGGGGCCUGAGAAAUGGCCACUACGUCUAAGGAUGGCAGCAGGCGCGCAAAUUACCCACUCUCAGAACGAGGAGGUAGUGACGAAAAAUAACGAGACCGUUCUCUAUGAGGCCGGUCAUCGGAAUGGGUACAAUCUAAACCCUUUAACGAGUAUCUAUGAGAGGGCAAGUCUGGUGCCAGCAGCCGCGGUAAUUCCAGCUCUCAAAAUGCAUAGAAUUAUUGCUGCGGUUAAAAAGCUCGUAGUUGGAUCUGUGCUGAGGACCUGGUCCACCUUCGGGUGCGUACUAGGAUCCACGGCUUUUCUGCCGGUUUUCCCGUCAUUGCUUUUAAAGGCUGUGGCGGGUGGCUGGUGAUUUUACUUUGAACAAAUCAGAGUGCUUCAAACAGGCGUUUAGCUUGAAUGUUUUUGCAUGGAAUAAUAGAAGAGGAUUUCGGUUCUAUUUUAUUGGUUUUAUAGACUGAAAUAAUGGUUAACAGAGACCAACGGGGGCAUUCGU
RNAcentral lists this ribosomal RNA (817 nucleotides) under Ditylenchus oncogenus. RNAcentral describes it as "SSU rRNA". It matches the Rfam family "Eukaryotic small subunit ribosomal RNA", at positions 69 to 895 of the family's 1831-position model. Lineage: Eukaryota; Metazoa; Nematoda; Chromadorea; Rhabditida; Anguinidae. The record is from RNAcentral.